RNAcentral lists this ribosomal RNA (301 nucleotides) under uncultured bacterium. Its description in RNAcentral is "partial 16S ribosomal RNA". It matches the Rfam family "Bacterial small subunit ribosomal RNA", at positions 509 to 807 of the family's 1533-position model. The record is from RNAcentral.
CAGUAGCCACGGUAAUACGUAGGGUGCGAGCGUUAAUCGGAAUUACUGGGCGUAAAGCGUGCGCAGGCGGUUUUGUAAGACAGGCGUGAAAUCCCCGGGCUCAACCUGGGAAUGGCGCUUGUGACUGCAAAGCUAGAGUGCGGCAGAGGGGGAUGGAAUUCCGCGUGUAGCAGUGAAAUGCGUAGAUAUGCGGAGGAACACCGACGGCGAAGGCAAUCCCCUGGGCCUGCACUGACGCUCAUGCACGAAAGCGUGGGGAGCAAACAGGAUUAGAUACCCGUGUAGUCCCUGUCUCUUAUAC